Brassica napus (rape) is the source of this 2925-nucleotide long non-coding RNA. RefSeq lists it as uncharacterized. NCBI's taxonomy places the organism in Eukaryota, Viridiplantae, Streptophyta, Magnoliopsida, Brassicales, Brassicaceae. The transcript is spliced from 2 exons. The record is from RefSeq and is a predicted model, not a curated record.
UAUCAUACAUAAGUUGGCUUCCUUUUCUCUGCCAUUGUUUUUUCACUGACUACUACAAUUUUGAUAAAGACAUUAUUUGGUUACAAUUGUUCACUGCAUUUUAAAGAAUAAAUGACUACUCAAAAACUAGGGCAUGGUUAGAUCUCACAAAUUCAUUCUGUAUUUACUUGUGAAUAUGUUAAAGGCCACCCAUAUCCACCUCAAAGUUUCACAAGAAGUAAGGAACAAACAAAAGGUUGGGACACAAAACCACCCUACUUUUAUUGUUAACAAGAACUCACAUGAGACUUGUGUAUGCCAGCUUAUGGAGAACAACCAUAAACUUCCUUUUUAACCAGAAACUUAAUUCAUUUAAUUAGAUAAAAUAUCUUUUAACAAAAAAGUUGACAAAAAGGCCCAAGUGAUCCAACACUCUCACCCAGUCUAAUAGCCCAUUUAUCGUUACUACAUAUCCAAAAGUAAGACCAAUAGCCACGUGGAUCAUCAGUUUGACUCCAGGUCAGCGUGCCACGUCUACAAGAACAUUACCAGUUCGUGUCAGCUGCUUCGCGGUCCAAUUAAAUAGGUUCCAUCUUCUUCUUCCUUCACUCCAACACAGUCGUGGGAGUCUCCAGCUCCACGCCAGCGAAAUUCACGAUUCAAAGGUAACCAUUUAUUCUCUGUUUUCGCUUUGUGUUUGCAGAACAAUGGCUAUCAUAAUCAGCACCAGUACAAUGGUUACCAACCUUUAGUGAAUCCACAUCCAAUGAUGAUGCCCAAUAUGCCAAUGCAUCCCCACUUCUUUAACAACCUCAAUAUCCCUCAACAGUUUCACCAGUUUGGUUUGCCUAACCAUAUCAACCAGUUACUUCCAAACUUAUUGGGGAAUCUUCUAGGUGGUCACUCACUCCCUCCUUUAGUUCAUCCCACUUUCUUCCAGCCUUCUCUUCUUGACCCUUUUGCUUUCACUUCUCAGCCACAGGGUAACUCCUUUAACUCCCUUCCGUAUCUUCCGGUUCCAACUCCACAUCAGAAUCACCAAAUGCAUCCUCCUGGUUUCUCAGAGCCAAGGCCACAGGUGACUCUUGUUGUCUCAUCUCUUUAGUUUUUACUUUGGUUAAUUAACUUUUGAGGCUUCUGCAGGUACAGUCUGUUGGAAAUGUCAACAACACCAAUGUAACUUCCAACUCAAAAGUUAAUGAUUUUGGAAAUAAAUAUACAAAACAACAAAAAUUCAAAGGCACUGGUCAAGGGUAAGUUCUUACUACUUUCUCACUUUUCAUUUAUUAGUUUUUUAUAGUCUUGGAUAUAUGUAUUGUGAGUUUUUGUAGAUUCCAGAAAUCUCAUUUGCAUCAAGCAGAUAAUCCAAAGAAAAAGUUUGGGUUUAAUAAGGAUCAAAUAGGCAAAAGGUUAGUUCUUUUUCCAUCGAAUUCACAUUUCUGUUUUGAAAUUAUAUACCUUUUAGUCAAAAUAGUAUAAACUUGGAGCUCUUUCAGUAUCCGUUGAAAAUGCCAAUUGUUACUACUGCAAAGAAUGGUGUUACCCCUACCGUUAUAAUGUUAGUUGAUAAAGUUAGCCUUAAAAUAUAAUUCUUUUGUAUCUCUUUAGAUUAUUUGGUUCCAGACAUCUUGUUUAUUUCAAGUUAGUAGUGUUGUUUUUGAUCUCUCUAUGUCUGACUUCAAUUGCAGGGAACAAGAAGAAGAUGGCAACUGAGCUCGAUGGAUCUGAUGCUGAUAACAUAGCUAAGGAAAAGAAAAGGUAGUGAUGCCAGGUCUAAUUAUCAUAGCACCUUGCUAUAUGUCUCACUGAAUCUCCUUUUGUUCAAUAAGCCAUUUACUCUCUUUUUUUUGCCUUUCACGCUCAUAAUGCAUUGUGAUCCAUAUAUAACUUUUAAUAUUGGUUAGGAUUAUUAUCUGGACUACAUCCUUUGUUAUCAUUUUUGUUCACGUUAAUGUCAGCUCUCAGCUAUCAGCUUUGUUUUGAUUUUUCUCCACGAGAAGGUCAUACGUUUGGACCUAUACUCCAAAGGAAAUUAACCAAUGGCGUGGAGCUCGGCGUAAGAAUUAUCCAACUAAACUCAAUUUUGAGAAGAAUGUAAAGGAAAAUGCUUCAGGCUGCUACCUUGACAAGGAAGCAAAAAUGGGUCGUCUGGAUGGCAAGAAGGGAAGAUUCCAGAAUAAGAGAGGUAGUAGUGGAAAAGACAAGUUUAGUAAAAAACCAAAAAUCCAAGACAAUAACUCAUCUCAAGAAUCUUCCAUAACAACGGAACAACCUACAUUGCUCGAGAAGCUCCUAAGCGCAGACAUAAAGAGAGACAAGAGUCAGUUAUUACAGGUCUUCCACGUCAUGGUAAUGAGUUCAUUCUUUAAGGAGUCGCCAGAGCAACCUCGGAAGUUGCCUUUGGUUAGGUAGAAGAGACUGGCUGUGAACAUGAUAAGGAUUAUCCCACAUCUGAAGUUUUAUCCGAUGAUGACCAUUGUGGUAAUGAUGUGGUUGUGAAUGGUGAUGAAGAUUCUGAUUGAUAAAUUGUAAGUUUUUUAAGUUCAAAUUUGUGAGAAGUCUUGAAGAUCAAUCUAUAUGUGCUGCUUUUUUGAAGGUUUGUAGUCAGGAGAAAAUAAUUAGACGAGUUCUAAUAAAUGAAUCAUUAGAGAGUGAUUUAUAAUAGAGAACGUUCGUAUAAAAUCUAUUUUUUUUUUUUUUUUUUGAACACGACUUACUUUCAUUAAACUUCAAUGUUUUUGGGUACAACCGUACAACCAGAGGGAAUCAAACAUCCUCUUUGAUUAAAAGCAUAAACUACAUAAGCAAACAAAGCUAAAAUAGAUAGGUCUUCAUGAGAAGAUGACAGCGAAUUCAAAGCAAAGCUUGAAUGCGUCGAUAAGAGCUUCACGACAAAGUCGGACAGCCGAAAAUUAGUCACAAGUGACGUUGAAACCCAGUUUUCAC